RNAcentral lists this long non-coding RNA (362 nucleotides) under Triticum aestivum (bread wheat). RNAcentral describes it as "long non-coding RNA (TAES_LNC019047)". Lineage: Eukaryota; Viridiplantae; Streptophyta; Magnoliopsida; Poales; Poaceae. The record is from RNAcentral.
AGCUGUAGGCUUGCAGCAGGUUGGCGGGCGAAUGGUCAUAAAGAGAAGAUAACAGGCAUGUCGAGUGCUGUGAGUAUUCCAUUCAUUUAGACAACUACGUUUCCAAGAUCAUCAAGAGGUGUGUUGCUUUCCUUGAGAAAAUCAUCAAUUUGUUUUAGCAUUGGUCAAAUCUGUUUGUUGAUCUGAGAUUUUGUAUUCUUGCAUCACCAGAUCAUAGUGUGACAGAUGGGAGAACACACACACACCUCAAUGGAUGACAUAUUAUAAUUACGGAGACUAGUUGUAAGGAUAAUGGAGUGCAAUUUUCUGAUUCAGUGAUCUGCAGGUUUGAAGAACUAAUAUUGUGUAGAAAAUGGCAAUCG